GCGUCUUAAGCAUGCAAGUCAAACGGGAUGUAGCAAUACAUCUAGUGGCGAACGGGUGAGUAACGCGUGGAUGAUCUACCUACGAGAUGGGGAUAACUACUAGAAAUAGUAGCUAAUACCGAAUAAAGUCAAUCAAUUUGUUAAUUGAUGAAAGGAAGCCUUUAAAGCUUCGCUUGUAGAUGAGUCUGCGUCUUAUUAGUUAGUUGGUAGGGUAAAUGCCUACCAAGGCGAUGAUAAGUAACCGGCCUGAGAGGGUGAACGGUCACACUGGAACUGAGAUACGGUCCAGACUCCUACGGGAGGCAGCAGCUAAGAAUCUUCCGCAAUGGGCGAAAGCCUGACGGAGCGACACUGCGUGAAUGAAGAAGGUCGAAAGAUUGUAAAAUUCUUUUAUAAAUGAGGAAUAAGCUUUGUAGGAAAUGACGAAGUGAUGACGUUAAUUUAUGAAUAAGCCCCGGCUAAUUACGUGCCAGCAGCCGCGGUAAUACGUAAGGGGCGAGCGUUGUUCGGGAUUAUUGGGCGUAAAGGGUGAGUAGGCGGAUAUAUAAGUCUAUGCAUAAAAUACCACAGCUCAACUGUGGAACUAUGUUGGAAACUAUAUGUCUAGAGUCUGAUAGAGGAAGUUAGAAUUUCUGGUGUAAGGGUGGAAUCUGUUGAUAUCAGAAAGAAUACCGGAGGCGAAGGCGAACUUCUGGGUCAAGACUGACGCUGAGUCACGAAAGCGUAGGGAGCAAACAGGAUUAGAUACCCUGGUAGUCUACGCUGUAAACGAUGCACACUUGGUGUUAACUAAAAGUUAGUACCGAAGCUAACGUG
RNAcentral lists this ribosomal RNA (816 nucleotides) under Borreliella garinii. RNAcentral describes it as "bacterial SSU rRNA". It matches the Rfam family "Bacterial small subunit ribosomal RNA", at positions 44 to 859 of the family's 1533-position model. The record is from RNAcentral. Lineage: Bacteria; Pseudomonadati; Spirochaetota; Spirochaetia; Spirochaetales; Borreliaceae.